CUCAGGACGAACGCUGGCGGCGUGCCUAAUACAUGCAAGUCGAGCGGACAGAUGGGAGCUUGCUCCCUGAAGUUAGCGGCGGACGGGUGAGUAACACGUGGGUAACCUGCCUGUAAGACUGGGAUAACUCCGGGAAACCGGGGCUAAUACCGGAUGGUUGUUUGAACCGCAUGGUUCAAACAUAAAAGGUGGCUUCGGCUACCACUUACAGAUGGACCCGCGGCGCAUUAGCUAGUUGGUGAGGUAACGGCUCACCAAGGCGACGAUGCGUAGCCGACCUGAGAGGGUGAUCGGCCACACUGGGACUGAGACACGGCCCAGACUCCUACGGGAGGCAGCAGUAGGGAAUCUUCCGCAAUGGACGAAAGUCUGACGGAGCAACGCCGCGUGAGUGAUGAAGGUUUUCGGAUCGUAAAGCUCUGUUGUUAGGGAAGAACAAGUACCGUUCGAAUAGGGCGGUACCUUGACGGUACCUAACCAGAAAGCCACGGCUAACUACGUGCCAGCAGCCGCGGUAAUACGUAGGUGGCAAGCGUUGUCCGGAAUUAUUGGGCGUAAAGGGCUCGCAGGCGGUUUCUUAAGUCUGAUGUGAAAGCCCCCGGCUCAACCGGGGAGGGUCAUUGGAAACUGGGGAACUUGAGUGCAGAAGAGGAGAGUGGAAUUCCACGUGUAGCGGUGAAAUGCGUAGAGAUGUGGAGGAACACCAGUGGCGAAGGCGACUCUCUGGUCUGUAACUGACGCUGAGGAGCGAAAGCGUGGGGAGCGAACAGGAUUAGAUACCCUGGUAGUCCACGCCGUAAACGAUGAGUGCUAAGUGUUAGGGGGUUUCCGCCCCUUAGUGCUGCAGCUAACGCAUUAAGCACUCCGCCUGGGGAGUACGGUCGCAAGACUGAAACUCAAAGGAAUUGACGGGGGCCCGCACAAGCGGUGGAGCAUGUGGUUUAAUUCGAAGCAACGCGAAGAACCUUACCAGGUCUUGACAUCCUCUGACAAUCCUAGAGAUAGGACGUCCCCUUCGGGGGCAGAGUGACAGGUGGUGCAUGGUUGUCGUCAGCUCGUGUCGUGAGAUGUUGGGUUAAGUCCCGCAACGAGCGCAACCCUUGAUCUUAGUUGCCAGCAUUCAGUUGGGCACUCUAAGGUGACUGCCGGUGACAAACCGGAGGAAGGUGGGGAUGACGUCAAAUCAUCAUGCCCCUUAUGACCUGGGCUACACACGUGCUACAAUGGACAGAACAAAGGGCAGCGAAACCGCGAGGUUAAGCCAAUCCCACAAAUCUGUUCUCAGUUCGGAUCGCAGUCUGCAACUCGACUGCGUGAAGCUGGAAUCGCUAGUAAUCGCGGAUCAGCAUGCCGCGGGUGAAUACGUUCCCGGGCCUUGUACACACCGCCCGUCACACCACGAGAGUUUGUAACACCCGAAGUCGGUGAGGUAACCUUUUAGGAGCCAGCCGCCGAAGGUGGGACAGAUGAUUGG
RNAcentral lists this ribosomal RNA (1474 nucleotides) under Bacillus subtilis. RNAcentral describes it as "bacterial SSU rRNA". It matches the Rfam family "Bacterial small subunit ribosomal RNA". Lineage: Bacteria; Bacillati; Bacillota; Bacilli; Caryophanales; Bacillaceae. The record is from RNAcentral.